RNAcentral lists this long non-coding RNA (501 nucleotides) under Orbicella faveolata. RNAcentral's name for it is "uncharacterized LOC110057396, transcript variant X2". The record is from RNAcentral. Lineage: Eukaryota; Metazoa; Cnidaria; Anthozoa; Scleractinia; Merulinidae.
CUAAAACACCCUGUUUCAAUCAGGCGAGGUAAUUCUUCCUUCGAGAGAGGCAGAACGAGAUCGUCGAGGACAGACAACUACGACUACACCGGCAAAACUUGAUUCCCAAACAGGUUUCUUCACAUUUAAGGAACUGAAGACUUUUAAACAUGGAACGAGUUCUUGUAAUUUUACUUUUGAUGUGCCUCAUUGCCUUUUUCCAGUUGCAUGAAAGUGAAGCUGGUCUUUUGGAGAAGACUGGAUUGAGGGGGUCAUUGACGAACCAUCCCUCUUCCCAGGCCAUCGCUGACAUCAUUUCGGAGACUGAGAUCAAGCCUGUUCCGAAGACUGAGCUCCAGGAUCAGACUCAUACCCUCCACAAGGAAAUCUGUUGCUUUGACUGACCAAAUCCUGUUUAAAUAAAGGAUUGUUGUUGAUUGUUGUUUAAGAACUGUGAUUUGAUAAUUGAGUGGAAAAUCAGGCUGAGCAUUGAGCAAAAGAAAUAAAAGUUAUAUUGAUUAA